RNAcentral lists this ribosomal RNA (497 nucleotides) under uncultured bacterium. RNAcentral's name for it is "partial 16S ribosomal RNA". It matches the Rfam family "Bacterial small subunit ribosomal RNA", at positions 28 to 507 of the family's 1533-position model. The record is from RNAcentral.
GAUGAACGCUGGCGGCGUGCCUAAUACAUGCAAGUCGAGCGAACAGACGAGGAGCUUGCUCCUCUGACGUUAGCGGCGGACGGGUGAGUAACACGUGGAUAACCUACCUAUAAGACUGGGAUAACUUCGGGAAACCGGAGCUAAUACCGGAUAAUAUAUUGAACCGCAUGGUUCAAUAGUGAAAGACGGUUUUGCUGUCACUUAUAGAUGGAUCCGCGCCGCAUUAGCUAGUUGGUAAGGUAACGGCUUACCAAGGCAACGAUGCGUAGCCGACCUGAGAGGGUGAUCGCCCACACUGGAACUGAGACACGGUCCAGACUCCUACGGGAGGCAGCAGUAGGGAAUCUUCCGCAAUGGGCGAAAGCCUGACGGAGCAACGCCGCGUGAGUGAUGAAGUUCUUCGGAUCGUAAAACUCUGUUAUUAGGGAAGAACAAAUGUGUAAGUAACUAUGCACGUCUUGACGGUACCUAAUCAGAAAGCCACGGCUAACUACGUG